Molecule: ribosomal RNA, 426 nt
Filed under: uncultured Actinomycetes bacterium
Lineage: Bacteria; Bacillati; Actinomycetota; Actinomycetes
Description: bacterial SSU rRNA
Rfam family: Bacterial small subunit ribosomal RNA
Source: RNAcentral
GCGGCCUAUCAGCUUGUUGGUGAGGUAAUGGCUCACCAAGGCGACGACGGGUAGCCGGCCUGAGAGGGCGACCGGCCACACUGGGACUGAGACACGGCCCAGACUCCUACGGGAGGCAGCAGUGGGGAAUAUUGGGCAAUGGAGGGAACUCUGACCCAGCGACGCCGCGUGCGGGAUGAAGGCCUUCGGGUUGUAAACCGCUUUCAGCAAGGAAGAAGCGAAAGUGACGGUACUUGCAGAAGAAGCACCGGCUAACUAUGUGCCAGCAGCCGCGGUAAUACAUAGGGUGCAAGCGUUGUCCGGAAUUAUUGGGCGUAAAGAGCUCGUAGGUGGUUCGUCACGUCGGAUGUGAAAAUCUGGGGCUUAACCCCAGACCUGCAUUCGAUACGGGCGAGCUAGAGUUUGGUAGGGGAGACUGGAAUUCCU